Molecule: ribosomal RNA, 68 nt
Filed under: Saitozyma flava
Lineage: Eukaryota; Fungi; Basidiomycota; Tremellomycetes; Tremellales; Trimorphomycetaceae
Description: partial 28S ribosomal RNA
Rfam family: Eukaryotic large subunit ribosomal RNA (bases 12-68)
Source: RNAcentral
UCUUUUGACUCUGGCCUCAAAUCAGGUAGGACUACCCGCUGAACUUAAGCAUAUCAAUAAGCGGAGGA